GAGGGUGUAGCUCAGUGGUAGAGCGCCUGCCUAGCAUACACAAGGUCCUAGGUUCGAUCCCCAGUACCUCUA
This 72-nucleotide transfer RNA is filed under the name Camelus bactrianus (Bactrian camel). It matches the Rfam family "tRNA". From Rfam's summary of the family: Transfer RNA (tRNA) molecules are approximately 80 nucleotides in length. RNAcentral also lists the same sequence under 3 other names. Lineage: Eukaryota; Metazoa; Chordata; Mammalia; Artiodactyla; Camelidae. The record is from Rfam by way of RNAcentral.